This 281-nucleotide long non-coding RNA is filed under the name Lathyrus oleraceus (garden pea). Its description in RNAcentral is "Pisum sativum (pea) long non-coding RNA (PSAT_LNC001074)". The record is from RNAcentral. Lineage: Eukaryota; Viridiplantae; Streptophyta; Magnoliopsida; Fabales; Fabaceae.
UCGUACGCUUGUGAAAGACCUAUGUCUUUGGUUGUGGCUGAGCCAUCAACUCUCCCUAACCAAGACAUAGAGGAUUUGGAAGACGCAUUUACCAAGAUGAAGCAAGAGAGAGAUAUGUGGGAAGAGUGGUUCCAUGCUUUGAGCCGAAGGCAUGAGGAGUUGCAACUUGAGUUAAAAGACAAGGAUGCACUUAUGAACUUCUUGAAGACCGAGCAGUGAAGAGAUAGAGAAAGCCAUAGGUUUUACCUUCCUCUAGUAUGCCUCAUCCUUCUGGUGCUUGG